UUACGCAGGAACUUAGAAGUUCCUCUAUUUUGAUCUUAAUCAGCAAGGAUUGGACAUGGAGGUCCAAUCCAGGCGCAAUCGAGCCAGGACGGCUCGUUGGGCUGUUUGCGUCACUAUCCAAUGCCUGACUCAAAAUAGAUGGAACAUCUUAGUUCCGAAGUCC
Firmicutes bacterium CAG:95 is the source of this 163-nucleotide regulatory RNA element. The record is from Rfam. NCBI's taxonomy places the organism in Bacteria, Bacillati, Bacillota.